AAUGAACGCUGGCGGCAGGCCUAACACAUGCAAGUCGAACGGAUCCUUCGGGAUUAGUGGCGGACGGGUGAGUAACGCGUGGGAACAUACCCAAAGGUACGGAAUAGCCUCGGGAAACUGGGAGUAAUACCGUAUGUGCUAGAAAGAGGAAAGAUUUAUCGCCUUUGGAUUGGCCCGCGUUGGAUUAGGUAGUUGGUGGGGUAAUGGCCUACCAAGCCGACGAGCCAUAGCUGGUUUGAGAGGAUGAUCAGCCACACUGGGACUGAGACACGGCCCAGACUCCUACGGGAGGCAGCAGUUGGGAAUCUUAGACAAUGGGGGAAACCCUGAUCUAGCCAUGCCGCGUGAUCGAUGAAGGCCUUAGGGUUGUAAAGAUCUUUCAGGUGGGAAGAUAAUGACUGUACCACCAGAAGAAGCCCCGGCUAACUCCGUGCCAGCCGCCGCCGUAA
Molecule: ribosomal RNA, 449 nt
Filed under: uncultured bacterium
Lineage: Bacteria
Description: partial 16S ribosomal RNA
Rfam family: Bacterial small subunit ribosomal RNA
Source: RNAcentral